RNAcentral lists this non-coding RNA (410 nucleotides) under marine actinobacterium MedAcidi-G3. Its description in RNAcentral is "bacterial SSU rRNA". It matches the Rfam family "Bacterial small subunit ribosomal RNA", at positions 1 to 408 of the family's 1533-position model. Lineage: Bacteria; Bacillati; Actinomycetota; Actinomycetes. The record is from RNAcentral.
UUGACGGAGAGUUUGAUCCUGGCUCAGGACGAACGCUGGCGGCGUGCUUAAUACAUGCAAGUCGAACGAUCCCGGGACUUCGGUCCCAAUGGGAGAGUGGCGAACGGGUGCGUAACACGUGAGAAACCUGUCCCGAAGAUGGGAAUAGCCCAGGGAAACCUGGAUUAAUACCCAAUACCCUGAGAGCGUCGCAUGGCGCACUUAGGAAAUGUUCCGGCGCUUUGGGAGGGUCUCGCGGCCUAUCAGCUUGUUGGUGAGGUAAAGGCUCACCAAGGCAUCGACGGGUAGCUGGUCUGAGAGGACGAUCAGCCACACUGGGACUGAGACACGGCCCAGACUCCUACGGGAGGCAGCAGUAGGGAAUCUUGCGCAAUGGGCGAAAGCCUGACGCAGCAACGCCGCGUGGGGGA